AUGCCACAUGCUGAUGGUGCUUUUAAGGUGUUAGAGAAAAUAAAUGAUAAUGCAUAUAAACUUGAGCUGCCUGCAGAUUUUGGGGUUAGUCCCACUUUUAACAUUGCAGAUUUGAAGCCUUAUUUGGGUGAGGAAGAUGAGCUUUCAUCGAGGACGACUUCAUUUCAAGAAGGGGAGGAUGAUGAGGACAUCAAUACCAUUGUUACAUUCACAACCCCUAUUGCUAUACAUACUGAACCAAUUACUAGAGCUCGCGCACGCCAAUUGAAUUAUCAGGUACUUUCGUUUCUUGGUGACAAUUCUAAUGUUCAUGAGAAUAUGAUGCUGCCUAAAUUGGAUACAUUUGUGUUGAUUACUAACGAAGGGCCUAGCAUGGACAAGAGGGAUGAACACUGGAGCAGGAUCAAGCAUGGAGAUGAAGGCGCACGCGAAGGGAUCCAGAAUGGCAUUUCUAGUGCAUAUUUGAGCACUUUGAAGCCUUCGUGA
Molecule: ribosomal RNA, 486 nt
Filed under: Triticum aestivum (bread wheat)
Lineage: Eukaryota; Viridiplantae; Streptophyta; Magnoliopsida; Poales; Poaceae
Description: partial small subunit ribosomal RNA
Source: RNAcentral